Molecule: ribosomal RNA, 1654 nt
Filed under: Escherichia coli
Lineage: Bacteria; Pseudomonadati; Pseudomonadota; Gammaproteobacteria; Enterobacterales; Enterobacteriaceae
Description: partial 23S ribosomal RNA
Rfam family: Bacterial large subunit ribosomal RNA
Source: RNAcentral
CGAAUGCUGACAUAAGUAACGAUAAAGCGGGUGAAAAGCCCGCUCGCCGGAAGACCAAGGGUUCCUGUCCAACGUUAAUCGGGGCAGGGUGAGUCGACCCCUAAGGCGAGGCCGAAAGGCGUAGUCGAUGGGAAACAGGUUAAUAUUCCUGUACUUGGUGUUACUGCGAAGGGGGGACGGAGAAGGCUAUGUUGGCCGGGCGACGGUUGUCCCGGUUUAAGCGUGUAGGCUGGUUUUCCAGGCAAAUCCGGAAAAUCAAGGCUGAGGCGUGAUGACGAGGCACUACGGUGCUGAAGCAACAAAUGCCCUGCUUCCAGGAAAAGCCUCUAAGCAUCAGGUAACAUCAAAUCGUACCCCAAACCGACACAGGUGGUCAGGUAGAGAAUACCAAGGCGCUUGAGAGAACUCGGGUGAAGGAACUAGGCAAAAUGGUGCCGUAACUUCGGGAGAAGGCACGCUGAUAUGUAGGUGAAGCGACUUGCUCGUGGAGCUGAAAUCAGUCGAAGAUACCAGCUGGCUGCAACUGUUUAUUAAAAACACAGCACUGUGCAAACACGAAAGUGGACGUAUACGGUGUGACGCCUGCCCGGUGCCGGAAGGUUAAUUGAUGGGGUCAGCGCAAGCGAAGCUCUUGAUCGAAGCCCCGGUAAACGGCGGCCGUAACUAUAACGGUCCUAAGGUAGCGAAAUUCCUUGUCGGGUAAGUUCCGACCUGCACGAAUGGCGUAAUGAUGGCCAGGCUGUCUCCACCCGAGACUCAGUGAAAUUGAACUCGCUGUGAAGAUGCAGUGUACCCGCGGCAAGACGGAAAGACCCCGUGAACCUUUACUAUAGCUUGACACUGAACAUUGAGCCUUGAUGUGUAGGAUAGGUGGGAGGCUUAGAAGUGUGGACGCCAGUCUGCAUGGAGCCGACCUUGAAAUACCACCCUUUAAUGUUUGAUGUUCUAACGUUGACCCGUAAUCCGGGUUGCGGACAGUGUCUGGUGGGUAGUUUGACUGGGGCGGUCUCCUCCUAAAGAGUAACGGAGGAGCACGAAGGUUGGCUAAUCCUGGUCGGACAUCAGGAGGUUAGUGCAAUGGCAUAAGCCAGCUUGACUGCGAGCGUGACGGCGCGAGCAGGUGCGAAAGCAGGUCAUAGUGAUCCGGUGGUUCUGAAUGGAAGGGCCAUCGCUCAACGGAUAAAAGGUACUCCGGGGAUAACAGGCUGAUACCGCCCAAGAGUUCAUAUCGACGGCGGUGUUUGGCACCUCGAUGUCGGCUCAUCACAUCCUGGGGCUGAAGUAGGUCCCAAGGGUAUGGCUGUUCGCCAUUUAAAGUGGUACGCGAGCUGGGUUUAGAACGUCGUGAGACAGUUCGGUCCCUAUCUGCCGUGGGCGCUGGAGAACUGAGGGGGGCUGCUCCUAGUACGAGAGGACCGGAGUGGACGCAUCACUGGUGUUCGGGUUGUCAUGCCAAUGGCACUGCCCGGUAGCUAAAUGCGGAAGAGAUAAGUGCUGAAAGCAUCUAAGCACGAAACUUGCCCCGAGAUGAGUUCUCCCUGACCCUUUAAGGGUCCUGAAGGAACGUUGAAGACGACGACGUUGAUAGGCCGGGUGUGUAAGCGCAGCGAUGCGUUGAGCUAACCGGUACUAAUGAACCGUGAGGCUUAACCUU